AAAGAAUACUCUGGACUCGUCUUCCUUAAGUCUGUCCUUAGAAACGAUGUAGUCAAAUAAUUCGCCACCCGGGCAAUACUUAAAUGAAAAAUAUCGCUUACGGGUGAAUAAGAAAUUUUGCUGAGUAAGGGUUAUUGGUAAGAUUGUCGGGUCAUGCAGUCGAUGAAGGGCUGGCACCAACGGCGACCUCAGCUGGGCGAAACGAGGAGGACAAAGUCACGAAAAAGGGAAGAAGAUUUAGCAGCACUGAGGUCAGCUGUUCUGGCCUCCAUGCUCCAACCUAAAGCUGCUGUGAUACCGAAAGAGGAGGCACGACCUCUGGCACCAAUGAAAUCCGACUCCGAAGAUGACGAAGAUGACUUGGCUGCCUUGCGGGCGGCCGCCCUUCAGUCUAAGAGGAAGAAGAGCCUGGAGAGCUCACAGGAUUCCAGAAGGAACUCCUCCGAUAAGUUCAGCAGUAGACGCUCUGGGAGCAACGGCACGGCAAACCUCAUAACAAUCCCGCCUCAGAAUGUAGAGUCUGUCAAGUCACUCCCUGCCAGAUCCCAAAACCGGUGGGGAGGGAGUCUCAAUAGCAGUCCUGCGUCGACACCAACAAAGUCAAAUGUUGGGCACAAGUUCAGUCGGUUGCAGCACAGCGAUACCGAGAGCGAGGAAAGUGAUCAAGAGCCAGUCACAACCGACACCAAGAAGAGCGAUGAUGAACUCGGAUCCGAUGUCGACAUUCAUCUCGGUUUUGAUGCCAAAGAGAUCCCCACUCUCUCUCCUGCGUUAGAGGAGCCAAGUCGAUGUCCAGGUCCAGUGCAUGUACCAGCACAAGUGCCAAUUGAUGUGGCAGUGCCAGUAGCAGUGCCAGAGGAACAUGUACUUUCACCGGUCAGGGUCAAAACUGAGCCACAAGAUAUGGACGAUAAGAGUAUGGUGUAUCGUGAUAUUGACGAGCGAACGUACAAUCACCGUCGCUUGAAUGAUUUCGGUAACACUUACACCGAUCCUGUGGUGAUUGACGAGCAUGGAGAUGUCGAUAUGCGGCGGGUUGAGAGUCACUUGAAGCCACCAAAGUUACAGAUUCAAGUGAAUAUGGACGGUGCGGGGGAUAGGAGGCGUGUGCAGGUUGCAGACGUGGGACCUGUGCAGCAGAUGUUUCGGGUUACUGUGACUAAUCUCAAUCAGCAGCGAAAUAUCUUAUUAGAGGGUGCUGACGGAUGCUUAUUCCACGACGGGAUGGGAAUGCAGUUGGGUGGUCGCUUACGCCCUAUCGAUGACUUAUCUGUUCUUGAUGCCAGGAGGAUGAUUAUGCCACGUUUGGAGCAAGAGCGGCCUAAACCGCUCGUGGAUGGUGAGCAAUAUGGAAAUAGUGGCUACUGGGACACAGCAGAGCAAUUCCGUAAAAGAAAGCAAAGUUAUGAAGGACAAGAAACACCUUGGAAUGAUGUCAAUAAUUAUCAGACUGCCAAUAAGGCAAUUGAAACUGAUCAUUACUUGGCGGAGAAAACCACUGGUAAAUUAUACAUGGACCGUGAAUCUUCUAAGUUUGUAGAUCGUGAAGAAAAACCGAAGCUGCGCUUGACUCAACCUGAUCAUUACAGUGACUCUGAUUCUAAAACUGAUUCUCUUUUACCUGCGGAAUCUGUUUCUACAAGAGAACAUGACAUUGCAGUUAAUGCUGAGUACUGGGUGACUGCAGAUCAGACCACGGAGCGGGUGGUGAAAAGGGGAGGCAAAGUCAAACUUAAGAGUGGGGAAAAAACGGUAAAAAGAAAAAGUAGAAGCCCAAGGGCUGAAAAGGUUAAAACUUCUAAGGAUUCAAGAAAUCGAUCUCGUACGAGUAAGAAACGACAACCAGAGCCAGAAAGUAGUCUGGAGAGGUAUUCAGGGGAUGAAUCAGAAAUUACGACCAGUCGUGAUAUCAAACGAGAGCGAGAUGAUUCGUUUUCUGAAUCUGAGCACCUUAGUUCUCGUGAGAGAAGCCCCUCUGAAAGUGAUGUCAAAAAUAGUGAUACGAUCGAUGAUGAUUCCAAAUUCUCGGAUAUUUACUCCGAGGAUGUUUCAUCAGUCUCACACAAAGCAAACCGUCCUGUGUUAAAAAAGAAAAAUCGGGGCCCUCAGCCUCCUGUACGGACACAUCAAAACUCUGGUAGAUCGCCCAAACAAGUUGUGGUUAACCCUAAGAAAGAUAAAUCACCACGUGGUAGAAAAGAAGUUGUUAACGAACAUGUUAAAAACGUUAAAGGCAGACGUGCAAGACAUGAAGUUGAGGAGUUUGAUAGGUCUGAAUCACGUGAGCGAGGUGAAGGGCAUGUUAAAGAGCACAAUCACCACGUGAGGGAGAAAAACAUUCGCCAUAAGGGUGAUGUUGACGAAAAAGUUCAUCGGACAAAAAAUGAGCGCGUUCGUAAAUCAAAGAUGGUUUAUGAAGAAGAAGAAGACGAUGAAGAAAUACAAGCUAAACCAAAGAAAUCCCGGGCCGCUCGUGAAGUCAGCGAUGAAGAGUCUUCUCCGGAAAGACCUGUGAAAACCAAAAGAUCUGUCAAAGAUGUUGCAGGUGUGACUCAUCACAAAGCAGUAAAGAAGAAAAUGGUUGAAGCCCCGGUUGAACGUUCCUCCAGACCCAAACAGCGCAGUCCUCGAAAGAAGCUGACUCCUGAGCCUGUGGAGCCCAAGCGGUCACCAGGAAACCGAAUGUAUCGAUCGAGGAAACUACCAGAGGAGGAAGGAGAGAUAACUGAUGAAGAAUCUGAGGAAAGGGUUUGCAAGCCGGUGAAACUUCGCAGCAAGGAACAACUUAAAAUGAGGGAAGCCAUUGGUGAAUGCAGCCGCAAACUUCAUGAGUUACUACGCAGAGAGGAAAAGGAAGAGGGUGAAUUGGAUGAAAGUCCUGUGGAAGUGAAUCGUAGAGCUUUGAAAGGACUGAAAGAGGAGAAGGAAGAGGGGGAGUUGUCAGAGGGGCCGUCUGAACGUAAGCGUAAAGUCACGAAAGGUCAAAAGUUAGCAGCUCCAGAUAGUGAUGAAGAAGAAAGGUUGGCGAGUCGAAAGCUACAGAAACUGAGGAAGGAUAAAGUUAAAAGUGGUGCGGAGCCUGGCGAUAAGGUGGUUGCUGAGAAGAAAGCGAAAUCAAAGUCCGCUACUUCGGAGGAGCAGUCUGCAGAGAAGGUAGUUGAGAAAAAGACGACUGUUGGUAGUAAAUUGAAACCUCCUGAAGAAGUUGAAAAAAGUAAGACUGGCAAAGAAAUUAGUUCAGAGAAGUUUGAAUCUGGUGAUAAAAACGAUAGCGACACUUCUGCGAAGUCCAACAAGUCGAAAAGAUCUCUGGAGGGGACGGCAGCAAAGUCUGAUGUUGGUACGAAUGUGACGUCUGCAACUGAAAAGAUGUCUGGCCAGGAAGAGAAAAAGAGUGGAGAGAAAGCUGCUAAGAGGGUUGAAUCAGGAAAAGCUGCCAAGGGAAAGAAAACAGAUGAUGAGGAAUCAGGUGCCAAAUGGAAAAAAGUUGGUGAAGGUGAAGAAGAUCGGGCUCUGUCGCCUCUACAGGAGAUGUUGGAGGAGGCUAACAAAGAAGUGGAGGAUGCCACAAAACAAGCAGCAGCUGCAGAAGAGAAGGAUAAAACAGCAGCAGCAAGGUUUAAGAAGUUUCAGUUGGAGAAGCCUGGGGUCAAAAAGGGGGCAAAAUCAGAGGAGGAAGUAAAAACUAAAGCAGCUGCGACUAAGAAACCUACAGAACCUAAAAAAUUGGACAAAGCUGGGUUAAAACUUUCUGAGACCAAGGAAAAGUUGCUGAAGAUCUUAGCACAGGGUAAGUUGAAGACUCAGGAUGCUGCUAAGAAAACUGCGGGGAAGCCUGGUCAGAAAGAUGAUACUAUGAACUUUUCUGCGGGUCUGGAAGCAAUAGUCCAAAGGAAGGGAGCAGAUAGUCGUAAGAAAGUCACUGCCACUAAAGCUGUCAAGAAAUCGGUGGCGAAAAGGAAAAAGAAUAUUAGUAAGUCUCCAGUACGUAAGAAAAGCAAAAAAAGCAACAGGGGUAGGCAUCGUGACUCAAGGUCUAGAUCUUCGUCAACAACUUCCUACAGCGAUCGCAGAAAAUCACGGCAUCGGCGACGCCACCGAUAUUCAAGUACUGAAAGUAGUCGAUCGCGAUACUCUAGUACUAGUUACAGUCGUAGGAGCAGGAGUAGGAGUCGAAGGAGAAGCUACAGUCGUAGGAGGAGUAGGAGCAGAUCCAGCAGUUACAGUCAUAGGAGGUCUCGUAGUAGGAGCAGAAGGAGGUCGAGAAGUCGAAAGCGAAGCUCUUCUGGUAGCAGGAGCUCAAGUCGGACUAGAAGUUCUAGUCGCAGUGGGAGUACUAGUAGUACGAGAAGCUCUAGUCAUAGUCGUAGCACUAGGAGUUCUAGUACAGGAAGUACUAGUAGUACCAGCAGCGCUUCUUCUAAAGAUUCUAAUGACAAUGCUGCCUGGAGGUUUAAACAUACUGGAACGAGUGCUAAGGCUGGACAAACCAAGUCUGAAAUCUUCGAGAGAAAGCGAACUGACAUUGAAAAUGAGCAGAAAAAGAAACAAAAUAAGAAUACCAUCGAUAAAGAAUUGCCUGACGAUCGGCGUGGGAAUUAUAAUAAUAGGAAUGACGAUCGACCGUGGCGGGGUGGACAUGAUUUUCGUUACAAUAACAACAACAGAGGGAGGUUCACGCAUCAUGAUAAUAGACCGAGGUUUAAUGACUUUGGUAAUUUUAGGGGUCCGGGGAGGUACCAGAGGGACUGGUACCCCAGAGGUAGUGGCAGUGGCUAUAGAGAUUUUAGAGACCACCGUCAGGAUAACAAUUUCAGAGACUUCAGAAAUCAAAACCGUGACCGACCGCCGUUUGUUCGACGGAACCGUUCAUGGAGUAGCGAGAGAGGUAAUGAGAAAGAUGCCAGUCCUGAGCGUUCGCGCAGUAAAGAUAAGAAAGGUAAAUCGCAGCGUUCGAAAUCGCGUGAUGACUCCAAAGACACUGAAAACAAACGCUCGCGGAGUCGUGAAUCUGGUGCUCAAACAAAAACUGCUGGUGCCAUUAAAUCUAAGGUGAACCCCCCUCCUAAGUUUGAUGCAGACAAAGAGAAAGUCCAUUCCGAUUCUGAAGGGAGCCAACAAGGUGAAAACAAACGAGCCUUCAGUUUGCUUAACAUGGAUAAAGAGAAACUUCCCGUUCACAAGCGGCUGGGUUCGCAACUCGGCAACGUGAUUCCGGCCAAAAUGAAUCGGCGUCAGCCCGACAACGAGCCAGAUAUGUUGUACAACCAAACCAAUAGAUGGCGUGCAUUUUUGCGACGUAUGGGUAAGGGAACAUGCACAUGUCAUCUGGCUCAAGAUAACUAUAGGGGACAGCAACGUGGUGGUUACGUGUACCGUCGCUGGCAGCCAAGGGGAUGGCACUACCAGCCCCGGUGGCACCACCCGGAGUUCAGCCCAUGACACAGGCUGCCAGGUUAUCGGACCUGGCCUCGAUACGACUCCCAUAACUUCUACCGCCCAUACAUCCACUGGCAUCCAUGGCAUCGCUAUAACAAUUACCAUCAACAUCGCUACUGGCACAAUAAUCAAAAUUACAACAAUAAUUACCGCAAUAAUUAUCAAAAUAAUUAUCGCAAUCAACACAAUUAUAAUCGACAUGACGGUAACGAACGGGGCCGAGAAAACGAACGCGAUCGUGACAACAACCGUGAACGUGACGACGAUCAUGAGGAACAACGACAACAAUGUGAUCAUGACAAGAACGAAGCGAGUGAUCGAGAGCAGGAGGAUGACCGCGAGAGCUUUGCAGAAAGCAAUAAGGAAGAAGAUUGAUUUUUAAGAUCUCCUUUAGUGACCAUCAGUUAGGGGGGGCGUCCACUAAGCAUAUUUUCUUAAGUAUUCUCAGAGACUUGUCAUAUCUUACAGUUAUAACUGACCGAUUUCUACCGAGCUUAGAAGUUACGUACCAAUAUUUGCGUGAAUAGGAUAUUGCAAGGCUAUUGGCUGUCAUGCACAAGUGAUUUGAUACUCGGGUGUUAUGUCCAUUGAAUGUUGCAAAGCAGCUCCCUUGCUGACAAUGACGUGAUGGGUUGAUGGCAAAGAUUGAUUUGCAUUCAAAUCAAUUUGCUAAGUUGGAAAAAUGGGAGUUCCUCAUACUCUUUCUAUUGGAAGUAAUCGAAAGUGGCACUAAAGGAGACCUUGAACUAUCCAUUUUUGGCGAUUUCUUCAGACUUGGGAUUGGCAUUUGGUUCAAAUUUAACUUGUUUUAUCUCAUGAUUUUUGCAUCUAAAUACUACACACCUGCAAUAGGGCUGUUCGGAAGCUGCGAUGAGAAAUGCAUUGGAGCAUAUGCUCACAUUUGCGCGAUAUUUGACAACGCUUGUCUGGGAAUUUUGUUGAAAGAAAAAUAUGAAAAGUAGAAAUUUUAAUGGUGUCAAAUUGAUACGCAUGAAUACUUGGUCCUCAUCAAGUGUGAGGAACACAACAAAAACACAAGAGACCAUCUGCAGUCACAGCAUGUAACCUUCGUAUCGUCAAUAUUAAGAAUAUAUGACUGCAACACAGAUACUUCUCUUGUUAAUACCCUUUGAAAGUUGAUGCUGUUAUGUGAGAUUUCCACAAUCGAUCAGGUUUGGAUGUCUGUCGAAUCUGAAAUAUUUUGAAUAUCGAUGACCACUGCAAAGCUUCUGUUGACUUGAAUGAUCAUAGAGGGGGUAUGGAAGGAAACCUUGCUCGAAUCUGUCAGGAAAAGAAAACCACAUGCAAGUAGCAGUAGAAACAGUUCGAGAAAAAUGGCCAAAGACGACAUUGGGUUAUGUUGGAUACUAUGGCCGCUAUAAGAUAUGUUCUUAUUGGUAUGGUAAUGGUAGAGACCCAGUUCAAUCCUUUAAUAUACUAUUCGAGAAUGUUGUUGUCAUUGCCAGAGAAAAAUCAGUGUGUCGAAAAAUGUUGAUAUGAAUAAGGACUAGUAAAAGCUUUUACUUCAGUGUGGUACAGAAAUGCAAAGUGUAAAUGUACGUGCACUUUUCAGUAUAAGCAUUUACUUGCCUUUAUUCUCAUGUCAGUGAAUGCCUUUGACAUGCAUUUACAUUGGGAAAUCUAACAAAAAGUUUUCUUAUACAAUAACGUGGGUUGCGAAUUGAAUAUGGAUUUAUAUCACAGGGUAAAUUAUGAAGAGAUGUUUAUAGACCGCUAUAUUGGAUAUAGUGAAAGUUAAAUUCUAAGCUGCAAAAAUUUACUGUACUGGUUUGUAUAACAAAUACGAGAUGGAUUUCUGUUCCAUUCUGUGAAUUGCAAUUUGAUUCCAGCAUAACCAGUAGAUAACAUGUAUAACUGUAAAAGUGGGAUGGACAGCUCACAGACUCUUUUUCAUUCUUGAACGUUCUUUCUGAGCUGAAUGGUUCCAGUGGUCUUCUUCACUACUGAUAUUGUACUGCCAUUUGAUGUGUUACCUCAAAUCAAUAAUUCGACAUUGGAGAAAACAAAUUUCUGCAACGAGAGGCUGGACAUCGAGGAUUGAAAGUGGAUACGACGAUUACGAAAAACGGGAGCAGAAUUCGUGUAACUUGGACCUAAAAUCGAAUGUCGAGAGAAAGAACACAAUAUGAUUUCGACGCUAAGAAUGUGACGGGAUUCCUGACGUUAACUGUCUUGAACUUCUUUCAAACUGUGUUAAUUCACGAGGGCACAUGGAAUGGCAGUAUAAAAUCAGUACUGGGUGAUACCUCAAUUCCUACUUGUUGUGUUUACCCCAUUGAAAACUCGUUGUGAUCAAUGAAAGUGUGUUGGUUAAUAUGAAUUUAUAAUUGAGCAGCAAAAAGAAAUCAUAAAUGCUGAAAAAUUGUCCUACUGUCUCUAAUUGGUUUGGCUUCACUUCUUUAACUUUUACAGAUCAGAACCUUCCUAAGAACCAAUUUUGUUGAUCAGAGUAAUCUAGACCAGAUUGUUGCACUUGCUUUACUUCAGAAACUCUUUUCUGUUGGCAUUUUCAAGUGAAGAAUCACUGCAAUUAAUGGAUUGAAAUUAAAAGCGAUUUUGAAACAAUACCUACUCAUUGGUCGACUUGUAGGUGUGGUGAUGUUCGGUAAGACCAAAAUGAUAUAUAUAUUGCCCUAGCAAUACAGUUACAGUUGGAGCCAUUUCAACUAUAAAAAAACACGUCUCGUCAUUGCCAUGUUUAUUUCACCUUCAUUCCCUCUGAUGCGAGGUUCUGUUCAACUUGAGUUGUGGAAAUUCAUCAUCUUAACGUUCUUGUACAGUAGUAUAUGAUUGGUUGGGCUGUUAUUUCUCUUAUUUGUGAACAGAUUGUUCAAAUAAAAUAUUUGUUUAAUUGGAA
Molecule: RNA transcript, 8317 nt
Organism: Lineus longissimus
Lineage: Eukaryota; Metazoa; Nemertea; Pilidiophora; Heteronemertea; Lineidae
Gene name: serine/arginine repetitive matrix protein 2-like
Exons: 10
Source: RefSeq, a predicted model, not a curated record